CUCUAACUGUGUUGCGGCUUGCAGGUGAUCCGGGACAUCCUGUUGAUAGGACACCGACAGGCGUUUGCCUGGGUAGACGAGUGGUGCGACAUGUCCCUGGAGGAGGUCCGUGCCUUCGAGACUCAGAUGCAAGUGGCCACAAACCAAAAGUUCGGAAGCCAGGACCCUUAGCUUCCUGCCUGCCCAGCUCGCCCAGGACCUCCCUUUGAAUGACAAUGGAGGAGGUGCGCAAGUAUGAGAGGGAAACCCAGGAAGCCACCAACGAGAUCAUUGGCGUGGUCACACCCUCCAUUUCCAUAAGCGAGGUGGGGCAAGCUCCGGUCACGCACAGUGCCCCAGCCAGUGCCCCUUCCACACCGCUCAGUGAUGAUCCCCCGGACUUCCUCAGCUCUCCCAAGGACAGGCCCCGGAAGAAAUCUGCUCCGGAAACACUGACACUGCCAGCCCUGCGGGAGCGCGCCAAUGCUGAGUAAUGGCUGCCCUACAGACAUGCUCGGUGGACAGAUGCUUGGCCCUCAUUUCCCACCCCUCAGAUCGGGGCACCCUACCCACUUUGCCUGCCUUGAGAAACAUAAAGACUACCGCUGCCCCCAACAUCAUUCCUGCCCCUUGUCCCCAAUAAAAAAGACAGCAGAUCCUAUUGUGAGCCAGAUGGGAGAAGCCCCUUUGUGAGGUCCCAGAUUUCCCUGCCAUCACAUGGGCCUUGGGCUCCCCUCAACCUGCUACCCAGCCCCACUCUCUUCUCAUCAUUCCAGCACAUGCCCUGCUUUCCCUGCCGUCGGUUCAGGGAGGAGCUCCAGCAUGUUGGAGCCAUUCCUUGGCCCAUCUGUAGACAGCUCUGUCCUGGCAGGUAACGUCCCUCAGAGCUGCUUUUGCUAGAGCCAGGUGGCAGCCGGUGGCAGCCCAGCCCUUCUCUGAAGGAACUUGGAAGCACCUUUCAGACUGUUGAUAAAAACCGCCAGGCAUUGAUUGAUCUCGGUUCCCACUGGCAAUGAGACCCACCAGGAUGUUUAACCUAUGUCCUUGCCACCUCCUGAGGAUUUCUGACUGUACCUCUGAGCUUCACAGUACCACAGCAACCCUGAGUCCACCAGCAUCCAGACUGUAACUCUGCAGCUGUGCCAAUGUCACCCGUGUCCCUCCAGCUUUGACAGGAGGGCAGAGAUGAGUUGUCAGGACUGCUUCUCCUGUUCCUAAUGUGAUGCUCCAGGCCACUGGUGAAGAGCCAGCAUCUCAACCAUCUCUACUCUGGGGACCUUUUCCACCUGUCACUAGCACUGGUUCAUCCAGCACUAGCAGUGUUGUAGUGUGGAAAAGGCUGUGACGCAGUCAGUUGAUCCCCUUCUAAGCAAGGGAUCAUAGGACUGGCGGGGCUGAUUUUAGUCACGUUUGGGCUGUGGAAAACCUUCCCUGCAGAGUGGAGCAUGGCAGCCUGGGUGUGAAUGAGGAGCCCACUUGGUAUGAAGCCACUGUUGACAAGACACCAUCACUGAGUUGCGGCUCUGGAUUAAUGCUUGUCAUAGUAGGACAGGCCUAGCCAUUGUCCCUAACAUAGACAAGCCCAAAAAGUACUGCUUGCCAUGUCUUGCCUCUGUCCUUCCCAGGUGAGCCUUUCCUGUGUCCAGAGUUGUGUUCUUGGUCUUGCCAAGGCCCUUUACUUUCACCAGUCCCCUCCAGAGUCCUGCAGCAAGAAGGGGUGAAGAUCUGUCCAUCCCAACCCACCUAGCCUUCUGCCAAGCAGCCUUCUCCCCACUGGUGCCUUCAGGACAAGGGUCAUCCCUGCGCCACUGCUCCAACAAAGAUUUCUGGCAACUAUUUGGACCCAUGGCUGGACCCGCUUCAUCACCAGCUAUUUCCAUUGCCCUCCAGGCACCUGGACUUAGCCUCCAAACUGCCUCACACUCACUCAGGUCCCUGAGGAGUGGGUCCCAUCAUAGCUGGGCCUGCGGGGUAUGUCAACCAUGGGUACUGAACAAGUGCAGACUCCAGCUCCAAGUGCAUCCAGCACAAACCAGCUGAGCCUUCAUGCUGGGUUUGAACCUCAGAUACAAGCACACACUGAAUUGCACUGAUUCCUAAACAGGAAUCCCCCAACCCUCUGCCCUCUGCUUGGGCCUCAGCACAGGUCCCUUUGUUCAAGUAUUUUUUAACUGUCUUCGCUACAGUUUGUGUCCUGGACAAACAGAAAUGGAACAGCCAACCUCUCCUCCAGGAAACUACAUGCUGCUGAUCGAUCAACCAAAGGUCUACAUGGGAUGCAGCUCUGCCAGCUAAUUUGGAUGGGCCAAGUCCAGGUGAAUCUGCUGUGCUCCCAUGAUGUGCAGAAUGCUGUCCGCAUGGAACCUGGGGCUUGGGAGGGACCUCGGGGGUCAUCUGCUUCAACACCCUGCUCUGUACUUUCCACUGGGGGUUGAGGGUCACCAGCACCAUACAUGGUGGAUCAUGCCUCUGCUGUGUGAUAUGAGCCACUGGAAGAGUAGCUUGGAGGCUGGUUGGGAUUCAGGUAUCCCUUUGAAGCAUUAGGUCAUGACAGGAAAAGGCUGGGUCUGGAGGAGCCCCCACAGGGUUGGCUGCUUCUCCUAACUUGUCAGAACCUCUAGGGUCUGCAGAAUGGGUCUGGAAGUCUAAUAGGAACAGGCUCUGACUAUUUUAUCACCUUUGCCUCUGGAUGGAGCCAGGAUGGCCAGAGGCCUUGUGAACAUGGGAGAAGUUUUACUGAUUGUUUGUGGACCUUGGACAAGGUUGUGCUUAGGUCUGGGGAGAAGGUGAGGGGUAAUUUUUAAUUGGAUUCUAGUUUGGCCUCCUCUUCAACCCAGACUGUGGAAAGGGCCAAAGGAGUCAUGCAGAAAACCUGUUCGCUGUAAUGGAAAGGAAUGGUCCCACAAAUGACACUGAGGGACUGGGUAUUUAAGAUGGGCCAUGGCUGGAUUCUGAACCCCUUCAAAAGGGAAGGACUUGGCUUGGGAACAUGGCAUCCACCCACACCCAUGGGCUCUGGGUCAGUUCCACACUGGAAGGGAUCUGUUUCCUGUUCUAGUCUGGAUGUAGCCGAAUCUCCCCAGAAAAGCCAUGUGGCAAGAUUUUGCACCAUCACAUUUGCACUGAGGCCCAGCAUUUUGCUUUGGUUCUAAGUCAAGAGCCCAGCUCUGUACAGGUUGAGCCUGGUGUCCUCAGCCCAUCUCUUCUGAAUGGUAUUUUCCCUUGCCAAACAGAUUUUAAAGCCCCUUCUCAUGUCCCCUGAAUUGUAUGCCCCUUGCCCAAGCUUUGUACAGAAUGGGCUAGAACCUGUCCCUAGGUUCCUUGGAGCCUGAGCCUUGUUCUCUGGGGCUCAGACCCUUGUGAGGGGCUCGGUCUCUGCCUCGCCUGGAGCAGAUGCAGCAUUUCCGUCUGGACUUCUCUGUGUUGUGUCUUUAAUUCUCACCCCUCAAGGGUUUCCCCUUUAUGCCCACCUCUUGGGCUGUGGAAAGCCUGUGUGAGGCUGUUGGUAUCAGCCUUGGGUAUAUGUGAGCUUGUGUUUUCCUCCUGCAGCCAGGCUCCUCUGGCUCUUGCCCCUGGACAUUUUGGUUCGUCUCACGCAUGCGUCCAGGUCCCAAGGCCUUCCUGAUAUGCCCACCGUGGAGCUGUGCAGUAGCUGGUGAUGGCAGGGGCUGCACAGAGAGGUUAGUUCUAGUGCUGUGCAGGAAGGAUAGAGGCAAGUGCUGGAGCUGAGGGGACGAUGCUGUGGUGCCUAGCCCUUUGCAGUGGGCACCUGAGGCUGAUGGUUCUGUCUCUGCAGAGCCCCUCAUCCCUCCCUCCCUCCCUCACUGCUUGGAGCUUUGCUCUGCACCCCGUACCUGGAAGCAGGGAUUUGCUGAUGACCAAACCAAGCAUGAGCCAGGAGGAGCCAGAUGUCUGUGGGGUUGAAUGUAUCUUGUAUGAAUGUACCAGAUGAUGUAGCAUUCCCCACCCCUUCCCCUGCCCCACCCAGCCUGUCUCCUCUCUAGCCUCCUGGAUCCUCAGGAGUCUCUUUAUUUCUCUCCUGCCCGGGGUCCCCAUCCCAGGAGGCAGCUGGUCACUGUGAGUUGGAGAGUCCUCAGGGCCCAGCCCCAGCUCCUGGAAGCUCCCUCCCAACAGACACUUGUGAAGCGAGAGCACAAAGGAUUUUUCCUGCUCAGAGGCCAGGCCCCUGCUCCAGAAGGUGUGAGCAUGGGACUUGUCCCCGCCACUCCUGCCUGUCACGAGGCCCAUGGGCCCCACCAUCUCCAGCAACACAGUCUGGGCCUAGGGGGAGCAGGCUUGCCCUCGAAAAUGCUAACAUCCCCUGGUGUCUGCUUCAGGCAACGUGAAUCGUUCCUCAUGAGCUAGUUCCUUACUGAUUGCCCUUGCCACUUACUGCUCACUUGGAGGCCACUUGUGUUUGGAGGGGGCGAGGCAGUGGCUGGCUCAGGCCUUGGCUUUCUUUGUUACAACAAAGGCCUUUUGAGAAAUAAAGCGAAAGAAGCUGC
Long non-coding RNA from Gavialis gangeticus (Gharial), 4484 nucleotides. RefSeq lists it as uncharacterized. The record is from RefSeq and is a predicted model, not a curated record. NCBI's taxonomy places the organism in Eukaryota, Metazoa, Chordata, Crocodylia, Gavialidae. The transcript is spliced from 3 exons.